Molecule: transfer RNA, 91 nt
Filed under: Effusibacillus dendaii
Lineage: Bacteria; Bacillati; Bacillota; Bacilli; Caryophanales; Alicyclobacillaceae
Description: Effusibacillus sp. skT53 tRNA-Ser
Rfam family: tRNA
About the family: Transfer RNA (tRNA) molecules are approximately 80 nucleotides in length. Their secondary structure includes four short double-helical elements and three loops (D, anti-codon, and T loops). Further hydrogen bonds mediate the characteristic L-shaped molecular structure. tRNAs have two regions of fundamental functional importance: the anti-codon, which is responsible for specific mRNA codon recognition, and the 3' end, to which the tRNAs corresponding amino acid is attached (by aminoacyl-tRNA synthetases). tRNAs cope with the degeneracy of the genetic code in two manners: having more than one tRNA (with a specific anti-codon) for a particular amino acid; and 'wobble' base-pairing, i.e. permitting non-standard base-pairing at the 3rd anti-codon position.
Source: RNAcentral
GGAGAGGUGUCCGAGAGGUCGAAGGAGCUCGACUCGAAAUCGAGUAGGCGUUAACAGCGUCUCGUGGGUUCGAAUCCCACCCUCUCCGCCA